AUUCGACCCGACCCAGAGAAUUCUCCUCCCUUAGUCUCUCAAACAUCUUCGCCCUCAAUCCCCUUCCAGACUCCACCCUCUCCAUGGCAGGCUCUUCCUCACAACCCUCCUCGCAGAAAUCCAAAUACCCAAUUCCAGAACGGCCCGGUACACGGGUCGGAGUCGAAGGAAGGCUACAGAAACCGGGUCGAAGAAUUGACCCGCGUGGAGACACGAACCCGGGAGAGCCCGGAGACCCAAACCCGGAAGAACCCACCUGCACAU
RNAcentral lists this long non-coding RNA (264 nucleotides) under Prunus persica (peach). RNAcentral describes it as "long non-coding RNA (PPER_LNC007494)". Lineage: Eukaryota; Viridiplantae; Streptophyta; Magnoliopsida; Rosales; Rosaceae. The record is from RNAcentral.